UGAGAUCAGAGAGGAAAUGGAGAGUCAUCAUUUAAGGACCCAGAGGCCUUCGUGGGGAGUUUGGAUUCUACUCUGAACGAUGUGGGGAGCCAUCGGAGAACGACAUGCUCGGACUUUAAAAAGGAUCACACUGGCGGCUGUAAGGAAAAAUGACUGGCGGAGGAAGCGGUGGAAGCUGGGAGACCCUGAAGAGGCAACUGUAGACUUCCAGGGAUGAGGUUCUGCAAGAAGCAGGCACCCAGGAUCCGCUGCACCCAGCACCAGCCAGGCACAAUAUUAAAGAACAGCACAACAGGGCAGCACGACAUUUGCCACUGGGGCUGAGGCCCGGAGUCCACCAGUCACGGCCAAAGACAUAAGAAUUGCUCACAAUUGCUGUGUUUCCUUUGUGCUAGAAAUUGCUUUAAACACUUUCCGGUAUUACCUCCUUAAAUCCCCAGGCCAGUCAAAUAAAGUAGACACUAUUAUUAUCCUCAUUUUUCAGAUAUGGAAACUGAGGCACAAAGAGCUUUAUGACUUGCCCAGGACCUCACAGCUGGUGUGACGCAGACGCCCUCUUGUGGGAGGGCGUGGCGGUCUUCCCGGGUCUCCGCAGCUUCCGGUCUCGCUC
RNAcentral lists this long non-coding RNA (610 nucleotides) under Equus asinus (donkey). RNAcentral describes it as "lncRNA (ENSEASG00005036065.1)". The record is from RNAcentral. Lineage: Eukaryota; Metazoa; Chordata; Mammalia; Perissodactyla; Equidae.